GGACAGCCGCCGAAAGAGCACGGUGAUCAAAAGGCUUUCGUUCGACCUUUGAUGCCGGCGGUCCUGCGGGUCCUCAUCGACCCCUUCGAAGCCUGCGGGGAUGACGAAGCCACUGAGCUCUGCUCUACCCUCCCCGCCUUCCUGCGGGAGCCUCCAUACUCUCCCUGCGACCUGAGCGUUCAGCGAGAGGCUCAGUCUUACCCGUCGACCUGGGCGAGUCCUCGGAACAUGCCCUCCCCGCCAGGGCAGUGCUGCUGGCCCUGGAAUCGGCCCGCCUCCGUGCUGAAGUACCUCACAGUUCUGUCGGCGCAACCCACCAAGAUCUGCGGGCAAAGGAGAGCAGGAUGGUGAUCAAAACGAGGCUCCUUCCCUUGUCCCCCAGCUCGGGACCGAACAGCUACCGCUCACCUGAGUCUCGCCGCCCGCGCCCCAGCACAGGGCGCUCACCGCCUCCUCGCGUCGCGGCUGUCCCGCCGCCGUGAAGUUCGUUGCCUGUUUGCGCUGAAGGUUUACCCCUGCGGGGGGGCGAGUGUCAGUCGCGCCGCGGUCGCGAGCGGAGGAUACCCCCCAGUUCCCGACGCCGGGCUCAGCCACCCACCUUUCAGGAUCCCGGUCUCGGUGCCCACCCACACAUGGUUCCAGCGUGCCCCUGCGGCCGCCAUAACGGAGCCCGGCAGCCCACGGCUCGUACUUCCGGCGCAGUGUGCGCGUCACCAGCGCGCGCCGAGUCCCAUCGGGAAGAACGCCUUCUCCGGGAGUUUAAGGAGCGGGAAGGAGGGAACCUGGUUGGUUCCGCGGGAAGAAUUUGCGACUUUUGGUUUCGGGGUCGUGAGUUUAAGCCCUUACCUUGGGUGUAGAGAUCACUCAAAUAAAAACUAAACAACAACAAGAAGACAAACCGGAAGAAUAAAGAUCCCCCAACUGCGUUUUACUUUUGAAGACAAAAUCUGGAGAUACUUGUGAUCUGAAGAGUAACUUGACAGUGUUGCACUUGGAGUAGAAGACAUCCUAACCGGACCACGCCUAGUGGAGCCAGGCCUUGUCCGUCUCCCUGCUCCAAAGCAUCAUGUACUCUUGUUUUCUGUACAAGGCAAGAAAGAAGAGCGCACUUCAGAAACAAUUCAAAUCACUAAUGAGGCUCAUGGCUUCAACCUCGAGUAUAAAAGACAGAAAAGGAAGAAAGAUGGGGAAAUUGAAACCGACGGUCUUAAAACAAAUCUGGAAAGUGAAGGUAGGGCCGUCGUUUUUCUUUCCUCAUUUUGAGGUUUGGUGAUGGUAAAAAUCAGCUCCAACUGAGAGUAAAAAUCUGCAAAAUUAAAACAGUAUUCUCCCAGGGACAAACUGCUACUUUAAAAUGUCGUAAGAGCCCCUUCUUUGAGUGACUACUCUUUCCUUACAGAGAAGUUUUUGUUCUCUGAAAUUAGAAAACCAGAAACUUUGAAAUUUUAUCGGUAAGAAUAAAAACAUUCCCCUCUCUC
Long non-coding RNA from Ailuropoda melanoleuca (giant panda), 1478 nucleotides. RefSeq lists it as uncharacterized. The record is from RefSeq and is a predicted model, not a curated record. The transcript has 2 exons. Lineage: Eukaryota; Metazoa; Chordata; Mammalia; Carnivora; Ursidae.